Molecule: transfer RNA, 62 nt
Filed under: Neolucanus maximus
Lineage: Eukaryota; Metazoa; Arthropoda; Insecta; Coleoptera; Lucanidae
Description: tRNA-Gly
Source: RNAcentral
ACUUGCAUAAUAUAACAAUUAUAUUUGACUUCCAAUCAAAAAAUCUAGAAAUAGCGCAAGUA